RNAcentral lists this ribosomal RNA (460 nucleotides) under uncultured bacterium. RNAcentral describes it as "partial 16S ribosomal RNA". It matches the Rfam family "Bacterial small subunit ribosomal RNA", at positions 338 to 795 of the family's 1533-position model. The record is from RNAcentral.
CCUACGGGAGGCAGCAGUGAGGAAUAUUGGUCAAUGGACGAGAGUCUGAACCAGCCAAGUAGCGUGAAGGAUGACUGCCCUAUGGGUUGUAAACUUCUUUUAUAUGGGAAUAAAACGUUCCACGUGUGGGAUUUUGUAUGUACCAUAUGAAUAAGGAUCGGCUAACUCCGUGCCAGCAGCCGCGGUAAUACGGAGGAUCCGAGCGUUAUCCGGAUUUAUUGGGUUUAAAGGGAGCGUAGGUGGUUUGUUAAGUUAGUUGUGAAAUGUUGGGGCUCAACCCUAAAAUUGCAGCUGACACUGUUAGUCUGGAGUACAGUAGAGGUGGGCGGAAUUCGUGGUGUAGCGGUGAAAUGCUUAGAUAUCAUGCAGAACACCGAUUGCGAAGGCAGGUUACUGGACUGUAACUGACACUGAGGCUCGAAAGCGUGGGUAGCAAACAGGAUUAGAUACCCGAGUAGUC